CGUACACUCCUACGGGAGGCAGCAGUGGGGAAUAUUGCACAAUGGGCGCAAGCCUGAUGCAGCCAUGCCGCGUGUAUGAAGAAGGCCUUCGGGUUGUAAAGUACUUUCAGCGGGGAGGAAGGCGAUAAGGUUAAUAACCUUGUUGAUUGACGUUACCCGCAGAAGAAGCACCGGCUAACUCCGUGCCAGCAGCCGCGGUAAUACGGAGGGUGCAAGCGUUAAUCGGAAUUACUGGGCGUAAAGCGCACGCAGGCGGUCUGUCAAGUCGGAUGUGAAAUCCCCGGGCUCAACCUGGGAACUGCAUUCGAAACUGGCAGGCUAGAGUCUUGUAGAGGGGGGUAGAAUUCCAGGUGUAGCGGUGAAAUGCGUAGAGAUCUGGAGGAAUACCGGUGGCGAAGGCGGCCCCCUGGACAAAGACUGACGCUCAGGUGCGAAAGCGUGGGGAGCAAACAGGAUUAGAAACCCCUGUAGUCCCAUG
RNAcentral lists this ribosomal RNA (478 nucleotides) under uncultured organism. Its description in RNAcentral is "partial 16S ribosomal RNA". It matches the Rfam family "Bacterial small subunit ribosomal RNA", at positions 330 to 799 of the family's 1533-position model. The record is from RNAcentral.